RNAcentral lists this long non-coding RNA (2830 nucleotides) under Equus caballus (horse). Its description in RNAcentral is "lncRNA (ENSECAG00000044557.1)". The record is from RNAcentral. Lineage: Eukaryota; Metazoa; Chordata; Mammalia; Perissodactyla; Equidae.
GCCUCUUUCAGUUUCAUUGAUGCCAGGUGGGAGUAGAUGCUCAGCUACCCGCUGGGCCCGACUGACAGUACCAAAGCAGGAAAAUCAGAGCGUUGCUUGCUUCUGCUGGUGGCAGACAGAAGAUUAGCUCCCUGUUUGACCCUGGAACACCACCAGAUUGCAGGCUUCUCCAACACUCCAUUCAGCUCAUAUGGGAAGCAGAAAGAAAACCCAGGGAACUCACUGCCAUGUUCCUCAAGUCCUGACGUCCUUAGGCAGUCUGCCUUCUUCUUGCCACCUUUGAGAGUCUUCCUACACUUGUUCGUUGUGUUAUGUGCAAGCCUUCAUGAGUUGUAAGAGGGAAAUCCUGGGAAGAAUGCAGCUAGUUCAUCUCGGCUGGAACUAGAACUCUGAAAUUACUUUUUGAAGAUCUGUAAUGAUGUGAGACAUGCUUACUGUUAAGUAAAAAAGAAAGAUAGAAUUUGCAUGUAUUACAUAAUCUCUACCAUGUAAUACAUCUCAAAACUGGGUGGAAAUACACCACCUUGUCAACAAUGCUUAUGACUAAGUUGUGAGAUUAGGUGUAAUUUUAGCUAUCUUCAUGUUAAUGCUUUACUUGUGUAUUCCAAUUUUUCUACUGGGUAUAUACAUAACUUUUACAAAAUAGAGGAAUGUUUUCUUAAAGGCCUUUUAUAUACUUAGUUGUAAUCUCCCGUCCUCUUACUUUUUUCUAUUUUGUCCUAGUUUUGUCCUCUGGAAAUACACAGAAUAAAUACCACCUUUUUCCCCAUGAGACUCCACAGAACAUUCCAUGAAUUCUAAAUUUAUUUAGAGUAAGUAAAUAUGAGCCUCUUCCUCAUUUUCCUCUCAAAUCUUGGCUUUCAGUUUCUUCUUACCAAUAUUCUAUUUAUAGGUCCAAGAGCAUUCUUCUUGGAAGACAAAAUGGAAGUAAACUAGGAACUGGGUCAUGGCUCUUGUUCAUCUCUGCAGGCUGAGUUAGCUGUCUGCCCCCUGUGCACGAGAGCAACCUGCUCACCUCUGUUAGGGCACUCACAACCCGGGCCGCCAAUGUAGGUUCUAUUUCCACCCCCAACCAGAAUAAGUUCCUUGAACUCCUGUCCUAUUUUUCUCUGUACCCGCAACACUUAGCAUAGUGCCUGGCAUAGAACAGGCACUCUGUAAAUGUUGAAUUGGAUGGAUGAGUGGAUGAAUGGAUGGACAUAAAGGAAUUAUAUUUGUUGGAUAGAUGGAUGAAUUAAUCAAUUAACAUCUUCAAUCAGUGCUGUACCACCAGAUCCCCCCAAUUUGAUCACUUUCUCAUUCCAAGCCUUAACAUUUUCCACAAGCUUCUGUGUGUACACAGCUAUGGUCUCCCUGAGGUUUACCUUGCAAAUCCUGAAAACCCUUUGAAAUGUCAUUUUUAUAAGUCCUGGAAUUUUUUUUUUCCCCUGAGGAAGAUUGGCCCUGAGCUAGCAUCUGUUGCCAAUCUUCCUCUUUUGGCUUGAGCAACAUUCGCCCUGAGCUAACAUCUGUGCCAGUCUUCCCCUAUUUUGUAUGUGGAUCACCACCACGGCAUGACCACUGAUGAGUGGUGUAGGUCUGCACCUGGGAAACUGAACCCAGGCUACUGGAGUACACCAAACUUAACCACUAGGCCAUGGGGCUGGCCCCUAUAAGUCUUGCUUUUAAUCUUUUGUCCACUUUUAUAAUAUAUAGUAGGUAGUGAGAUUUUAUGAAUAGGUUUUUUAAUAAAUUGGUUGGAGUAUUUUAGUCAUUUUCAUAAGACUGGCUAAUCAGGUCAAAUAAUUAAUUUUUCCUACCCACCAAGGCAAGCUUAUUACAUUGAGGCAUAUGUUUAUCCAUCAAGUGGCUAUGAACUGACUGAGAAUUAAAGAGACUUAGCUUGUAAAGCUCAGAACCACUGGCUGACGAGUGAAAGACCUUAGCAACAUCCAGGGGUUGGUCAGGAUCCACCACAGGAGAAUCAGCAGGGACUUACAUUCCUGAAGGAGCUCAAGUUUAGACCUUUGAUAGUAUCUCCAAAUAAGAUUCUCUAUACAAUCACAGAGAUACCCCAGAUGGUAUAUUGUAUGUUCUUGUUGUAAAAGCAUUAAUUUGUUAAACAAAAGCAUUUAAAAUAUACCACAAUUUGGAAUUUUGAAAUUUCAUCCAUUUUUAAUAUAUUGGGAACCUCUAAAAACGGAAGUACCUGGGGGCCUUUCUUGAUCUUUAACAACUUAUGGGAAUUGGAACCAGUACUCCCUGAGUUGCUGAUCACAAUGGCUUGGAAUAAUAUGUCCACCAUUAUCACAGUUUGUCCUCUUGGAGAUGUGAGCAAAUGGAACAGUUUUGGAUGAGAAUUCAGACCAAAGAAGGCAUAAUGAAAUUGAAUUUGCUUCUUUGGUCCUAUUCUGCUUCAAGAGAUGCCCUUUGCCUUCACAAGAGCUCCAGUACCUAGAGGGAUGGAAGUAUCUCAGCAGAUUUUCAUCAGAUAAUCUCUUCCUAUAAUGAUCCACAGUUGUUUGCUUAUUUUAGGUGAACACAAACACAAGAGGCUUCCCUCUCCAAACACGUUUUUUCAUACUCCAGAGCAAACAUAUGCCUAACAAACCUUUCCUGUAACGCAGGCUAGUUUUGGCUCUGAAUGCCCUUGUUUCAGUUUAAGAAGGAGGAAAAACUAGGUUCUUCUGGAAGACACAGAUGGUGUAAUAACAUUGUCUGAGGGUACUGCAUUUUUUUUCUUAUUUUUAUAUGUUUUUCUAUUUGGACUUUUAUUAAAAUUGACCUGUUGGAAGAAGCUGUUGAGCCCAGGAAACUUCACCUGGAUGGAGAUAAACAGGACCAUUUGCCG